GGGUUGUGAGGUUAAGCGACUAAGCGUACACGGUGGAUGCCCUGGCAGUCAGAGGCGAUGAAGGACGUGCUAAUCUGCGAUAAGCGCCGGUAAGGUGAUAUGAACCGUUAUAACCGGCGAUUUCCGAAUGGGGAAACCCAGUGUGAUUCGUCACACUAUCAUUAACUGAAUCCAUAGGUUAAUGAGGCGAACCGGGGGAACUGAAACAUCUAAGUACCCCGAGGAAAAGAAAUCAACCGAGAUUCCCCCAGUAGCGGCGAGCGAACGGGGAGGAGCCCAGAGCCUGAAUCAGCAUGUGUGUUAGUGGAAGCGUCUGGAAAGGCGCGCGAUACAGGGUGACAGCCCCGUACACAAAAGCGCAUGUGCUGUGAGCUCGAUGAGUAGGGCGGGACACGUGGUAUCCUGUCUGAAUAUGGGGGGACCAUCCUCCAAGGCUAAAUACUCCUGACUGACCGAUAGUGAACCAGUACCGUGAGGGAAAGGCGAAAAGAACCCCGGCGAGGGGAGUGAAAAAGAACCUGAAACCGUGUACGUACAAGCAGUGGGAGCACCCUUCGGGGUGUGACUGCGUACCUUUUGUAUAAUGGGUCAGCGACUUAUAUUCUGUAGCAAGGUUAACCGUAUAGGGGAGCCGGAGGGAAACCGAGUCUUAACCGGGCGUUAAGUUGCAGGGUAUAGACCCGAAACCCGGUGAUCUAGCCAUGGGCAGGUUGAAGGUUGGGUAACACUAACUGGAGGACCGAACCGACUAAUGUUGAAAAAUUAGCGGAUGACCUGUGGCUGGGGGUGAAAGGCCAAUCAAACCGGGAGAUAGCUGGUUCUCCCCGAAAGCUAUUUAGGUAGCGCCUCGUGAAUUCAUCUCCGGGGGUAGAGCACUGUUUCGGCUAGGGGGCCAUCCCGGCUUACCAACCCGAUGCAAACUGCGAAUACCGGAGAAUGUUAUCACGGGAGACACACGGCGGGUGCUAACGUCCGUCGUGAAGAGGGAAACAACCCAGACCGCCAGCUAAGGUCCCAAAGUCAUGGUUAAGUGGGAAACGAUGUGGGAAGGCCCAGACAGCCAGGAUGUUGGCUUAGAAGCAGCCAUCAUUUAAAGAAAGCGUAAUAGCUCACUGGUCGAGUCGGCCUGCGCGGAAGAUGUAACGGGGCUAAACCAUGCACCGAAGCUGCGGCAGCGAACGUAUCACCCAAGACAACUUUACGGAGUUGACGAUUGACGGAGCGAAGCGACGUCAAAGCGUUCAUUAAAGUCGAGUUGGCUUAGGGAUACGUUCGUUGGGUAGGGGAGCGUUCUGUAAGCCUGUGAAGGUGUGUCGUGAGGCAUGCUGGAGGUAUCAGAAGUGCGAAUGCUGACAUAAGUAACGAUAAAGCGGGUGAAAAGCCCGCUCGCCGGAAGACCAAGGGUUCCUGUCCAACGUUAAUCGGGGCAGGGUGAGUCGACCCCUAAGGCGAGGCCGAAAGGCGUAGUCGAUGGGAAACGGGUUAAUAUUCCCGUACUUGGUGUUACUGCGAAGGGGGGACGGAGAAGGCUAUGUUGGCCGGGCGACGGUUGUCCCGGUUUAAGCGUGUAGGUGUGUGUUCCAGGUAAAUCCGGUUCACUUUAACACUGAGGCGUGACGACGAGGCACUACGGUGCUGAAGCAACAAAUGCCCUGCUUCCAGGAAAAGCCUCUAAGCAUCAGGUAACAUCAAAUCGUACCCCAAACCGACACAGGUGGUCAGGUAGAGAAUACCAAGGCGCUUGAGAGAACUCGGGUGAAGGAACUAGGCAAAAUGGUGCCGUAACUUCGGGAGAAGGCACGCUGACACGUAGGUGAAGUGAUUUACUCAUGGAGCUGAAGUCAGUCGAAGAUACCAGCUGGCUGCAACUGUUUAUUAAAAACACAGCACUGUGCAAACACGAAAGUGGACGUAUACGGUGUGACGCCUGCCCGGUGCCGGAAGGUUAAUUGAUGGGGUCAGCGCAAGCGAAGCUCCUGAUCGAAGCCCCGGUAAACGGCGGCCGUAACUAUAACGGUCCUAAGGUAGCGAAAUUCCUUGUCGGGUAAGUUCCGACCUGCACGAAUGGCGUAAUGAUGGCCAGGCUGUCUCCACCCGAGACUCAGUGAAAUUGAACUCGCUGUGAAGAUGCAGUGUACCCGCGGCAAGACGGAAAGACCCCGUGAACCUUUACUAUAGCUUGACACUGAACAUUGAGCCUUGAUGUGUAGGAUAGGUGGGAGGCUUUGAAGUGUGGACGCCAGUCUGCAUGGAGCCGACCUUGAAAUACCACCCUUUAAUGUUUGAUGUUCUAACGUGGACCCGUAAUCCGGGUUGCGGACAGUGUCUGGUGGGUAGUUUGACUGGGGCGGUCUCCUCCUAAAGAGUAACGGAGGAGCACGAAGGUUGGCUAAUCCUGGUCGGACAUCAGGAGGUUAGUGCAAUGGCAUAAGCCAGCUUGACUGCGAGCGUGACGGCGCGAGCAGGUGCGAAAGCAGGUCAUAGUGAUCCGGUGGUUCUGAAUGGAAGGGCCAUCGCUCAACGGAUAAAAGGUACUCCGGGGAUAACAGGCUGAUACCGCCCAAGAGUUCAUAUCGACGGCGGUGUUUGGCACCUCGAUGUCGGCUCAUCACAUCCUGGGGCUGAAGUAGGUCCCAAGGGUAUGGCUGUUCGCCAUUUAAAGUGGUACGCGAGCUGGGUUUAGAACGUCGUGAGACAGUUCGGUCCCUAUCUGCCGUGGGCGCUGGAGAACUGAGGGGGGCUGCUCCUAGUACGAGAGGACCGGAGUGGACGCAUCACUGGUGUUCGGGUUGUCAUGCCAAUGGCACUGCCCGGUAGCUAAAUGCGGAAGAGAUAAGUGCUGAAAGCAUCUAAGCACGAAACUUGCCCCGAGAUGAGUUCUCCCUGAGACUUAGAGUCUCCUGAAGGAACGUUGAAGACGACGACGUU
This 2928-nucleotide ribosomal RNA is filed under the name Salmonella enterica subsp. enterica serovar Typhimurium. RNAcentral describes it as "partial 23S ribosomal RNA". It matches the Rfam family "Bacterial large subunit ribosomal RNA". The record is from RNAcentral. Lineage: Bacteria; Pseudomonadati; Pseudomonadota; Gammaproteobacteria; Enterobacterales; Enterobacteriaceae.